GCUACGGGCGGCAGCAGUGGGGAAUAUUGGGCAAUGGGCGCAAGCCUGACCCAGCAACGCCGCGUGAAGGAAGAAGGCUUUCGGGUUGGAAACUUCUUUUAUCAGGGACGAAGCAAGUGACGGGACCGGAUGAAUAAGCGACGGCUAACUACGUGCCAGCAGCCGCGGUAAUACGGAGGUGGCAAGCGUUCUCCGGAUUUACUGGGUGUAAAGAGCGUGUAGGCGGGAGUGCAAGUCAGAUGUGAAAACUAGGGGCUCCACCCCUAGCCUGCCUUUGAAACUGUACUUCUUGAGUGCUGGAGAGGCAAUCGGAAUUCCUUGUGUAGCGGUGAAAUGCGUAGAUAUCCGGAGGAACCCCAGUGGCGAAGGCAUCUCACGAAUCCGCGAUUGACGCUGAUGCACGAAAGCGUGGGUAUCAAACAGGAUUAGAUACCCUUGUAGUC
Molecule: ribosomal RNA, 443 nt
Filed under: uncultured bacterium
Lineage: Bacteria
Description: partial 16S ribosomal RNA
Rfam family: Bacterial small subunit ribosomal RNA
Source: RNAcentral